Molecule: non-coding RNA, 212 nt
Organism: Pelobates cultripes (western spadefoot toad)
Lineage: Eukaryota; Metazoa; Chordata; Amphibia; Anura; Pelobatidae
Source: the annotation of a GenBank genome assembly
CUCCACACUGUGACUCCAACUCUGAACAUCAGGCAUACAUGGGUCCCGGUCCACACUCCGCCGCCCGGACAGUGUCUGGGUCCCGGGCACCGGACCACUCACCCUGACACAGAGGAAUUCAAGAUAAUUCUGCGAAACUUAGUGAGUUGGAAUUGUGAUAUACACUGAUCAGCCACAACAUUAAAACGCUAAUAUUGUGUACGUCUUCUUCC